UAACGCGUGAGGAACCUGCCUCAAAGAGGGGGACAACAGUUGGAAACGACUGCUAAUACCGCAUAAGCCCACGGCUCGGCAUCGAGCAGAGGGAAAAGGAGCAAUCCGCUUUGAGAUGGCCUCGCGUCCGAUUAGCUAGUUGGUGAGGUAACGGCCCACCAAGGCGACGAUCGGUAGCCGGACUGAGAGGUUGAACGGCCACAUUGGGACUGAGACACGGCCCAGACUCCUACGGGAGGCAGCAGUGGGGAAUAUUGCACAAUGGGGGAAACCCUGAUGCAGCGACGCCGCGUGGAGGAAGAAGGUCUUCGGAUUGUAAACUCCUGUUGUUGAGGAAGAUAAUGACGGUACUCGACAAGGAAGUGACGGCUAACUACGUGCCAGCAGCCGCGGUAAAACGUAGGUCACAAGCGUUGUCCGGAAUUACUGGGUGUAAAGGGAGCGCAGGCGGGAGAACAAGUUGGAAGUGAAAUCCAUGGGCUCAACCCAUGAACUGCUUUCAAAACUGUUUUUCUUGAGUAGUGCAGAGGUAGGCGGAAUUCCCGGUGUAGCGGUGGAAUGCGUAGAUAUCGGGAGGAACACCAGUGGCGAAGGCGGCCUACUGGGCACCAACUGACGCUGAGGCUCGAAAGUGUGGGUAGCAAACAGGAUUAGAUACCCUGGUAGUCCACACCGUAAACGAUGAUUACUAGGUGU
Molecule: ribosomal RNA, 696 nt
Filed under: uncultured bacterium
Lineage: Bacteria
Description: bacterial SSU rRNA
Rfam family: Bacterial small subunit ribosomal RNA
Source: RNAcentral